AUGGGUCGCGUCCGCACCAAGACCGUGAAGAAGACCUCCCGCCAGGUCAUCGAGAAGUACUACUCUCGGAUGACCCUCGACUUCCACACCAACAAGAAGGUGCUAGAGGAGGUCUCCAUCCUCCAGUCGAAGCGCCUCCGCAACAAGGUGGCCGGCUUCACCACCCAUCUGAUGCGCCGCAUCCAGCGCGGCCCCGUGCGCGGCAUCUCCCUCAAGCUGCAGGAGGAGGAGCGUGAGCGCCGCAUGGACUUCGUGCCGGAGAAGUCGGCGCUCGAGGUCGACGAGAUCCGCGUCGACAAGGAGACCAUGGACAUGCUGGCGUUCCUCGGCAUGGCUGACCUCCCCGGCGUCGAGCGCGCCCCCGAAACCACCUCUGCCGCCGCCCCCUACCGCCAGCCCUUCAACGGACCCCGCGGUGGCAACCGCGCCUAG
RNAcentral lists this ribosomal RNA (432 nucleotides) under Triticum aestivum (bread wheat). RNAcentral's name for it is "partial small subunit ribosomal RNA". The record is from RNAcentral. Lineage: Eukaryota; Viridiplantae; Streptophyta; Magnoliopsida; Poales; Poaceae.